UAAAUACGAAAAUUAAAUAAGUGCAAAAAUAAAAUAAAUUAUGAAAACACAUUAAAACAUAAAAAUAAUCAAAGCAAACCGAAUAAAUGCUUAAGUACAAACAUGGAAGAACGUGCGUCCAAAAUGCACUGAUCAAAUUCCAAUAGUCCAUCCUUUUCCUUGAUCCAUUUCUAUUCCAUCAAGCAUCUGAAGCAAGGCCAAGCAUAAUUGAGAGCAAGAUCGUGUCAAUCUGAAGCUCCAUUGAAGGUG
This 249-nucleotide long non-coding RNA is filed under the name Lathyrus oleraceus (garden pea). RNAcentral describes it as "Pisum sativum (pea) long non-coding RNA (PSAT_LNC004633)". The record is from RNAcentral. Lineage: Eukaryota; Viridiplantae; Streptophyta; Magnoliopsida; Fabales; Fabaceae.